CCUACGGGAGGCAGCAGUGGGGAAUAUUGGGCAAUGGGCGCAAGCCUGACCCAGCAACGCCGCGUGAAGGAAGAAGGCUUUCUGGUUGUAAACUUCUUUUAUCAUGGACGAAGCAAGUGACGGUACCUGAUGAAUAAGCCACGGCUAACUACGUGCCAGCAGCCGCGGUAAUACGUAGGUGGCAAGCGUUAUCCGGAUUUACUGGUUGUAAAGGGCGUGUAGGCGGGAGUGCAAGUCAGAUGUGAAAACUAUGGGCUCAACCCAUAGCGUGCAUUUGAAACUGGAAGUCUUGAGUACUGGAGAGGUGAUCGGAAUUCGGGGUGUAGCGGUGAAAUGCGGAGAUAUAAGGAGGAACACCAGUGGCGAAGGCAGAUUGCUGGACAGUAACUGACGCUGAGGCGCGAAAGCGUGGGGAGCAAACAGGAUUAGAUACCCCUGUAGUC
Molecule: ribosomal RNA, 443 nt
Filed under: uncultured bacterium
Lineage: Bacteria
Description: partial 16S ribosomal RNA
Rfam family: Bacterial small subunit ribosomal RNA
Source: RNAcentral